GACGAACGCUGGCGGCGUGCUUAACACAUGCAAGUCGAACGGAAAGGCCCUGCUUUUGUGGGGUGCUCGAUUGGCGAAGGGGUGAGUAACACGUGAGUAACCUGCCCUUGUCUUUGGGAUAACUUCAGGAAAAUGGGGCUAAUAUCCGAUAGGAUCUCCUGCUGCACGGGGGGGGUUGGAAAGUUCCGGCGGUUGGGGAUGGACUGGCGGGUUACCCGCUAGUUGGUGGAGUAGGUGCUUUCGACGGUUUUGACGGGUAGCCGGCCUGGGCGGGUGGCCGGCGACAAUGGGACUGAGGUACGGACCAGACUCCAACGGGCGGCAACGGGGGGGAACCUUGCGGAGUGAGCGGGAGCCAGAUGCAGCAGCGCCGGGUGCGGAAUGCCGGCCUUCUAGUUAUAAACCACUUUCGCCGGUGACAAAGCGUGAGUGACGGUAAUGGGUAAGAAAGCAACGGCUAACUACGUG
This 468-nucleotide ribosomal RNA is filed under the name uncultured bacterium. RNAcentral describes it as "partial 16S ribosomal RNA". It matches the Rfam family "Bacterial small subunit ribosomal RNA", at positions 28 to 507 of the family's 1533-position model. The record is from RNAcentral.